Long non-coding RNA from Glycine soja, 636 nucleotides. RefSeq lists it as uncharacterized. NCBI's taxonomy places the organism in Eukaryota, Viridiplantae, Streptophyta, Magnoliopsida, Fabales, Fabaceae. The record is from RefSeq and is a predicted model, not a curated record. The transcript is spliced from 4 exons.
GUUUAAGGUGGAGUUUCUUCUGUAGUGGCAACAUAUGAAGGGUUGGAAACUUCCAUUAGCUGGAAAUCGAAAAUGCAAGAGUAUUUUAAGAUUUACCGCAUCAAACUUUAGGUUCCUAUAUCUAUAAACUAUAGACUGCUUGAUGAUCAAAGAGAGGGAGUGAGGUUUUGACAUGGUUUUCUCAACAACGAUCAUGGAGGCAUACUUGGAGAUGACAUAGAGGGAGCAACCAUACCUCGAGAAGGUUUAGAAGGGUGCAAGCGAAACACAGAGCAAUGAACAAUAUCAAUGAUUAUGCAGAAUCCCUCUUUCAGAUGUGCUCAGAAAAUGGUGCGGGGCCAGAAAGAGAUAAGCUUGAUUUUGAGUUUUUGGGGGAACAAAACAGGAGAACCUUAUUUGAUUCAGACUAAUGUAUACAAGAAUGGAACUCGUGGGCGUAAGAUGAGGCACAUGCUUUGGUUUGACCCCAUAGAGGACUACCACACCUAUUCCAUUCAACAAGAAUUAGAAUGAGAUCAUGUUAAAGAGGCAUUUGCUUAGUUGAUUCUAACUAAUUAAUUGCUAUAUAAUUUUAAUUUUUGGAGUUAUUUGCUGCUAGCUAGGGGACUUAUUAGGGAAUAAUUGAACAUGAACAUG